RNAcentral lists this ribosomal RNA (490 nucleotides) under uncultured bacterium. Its description in RNAcentral is "partial 16S ribosomal RNA". It matches the Rfam family "Bacterial small subunit ribosomal RNA", at positions 30 to 507 of the family's 1533-position model. The record is from RNAcentral.
AUUGAACGCUGGCGGCAGGCCUAACACAUGCAAGUCGAACGGUAACAGGAAGACGCUUGCUUCUUUGCUGACGAGUGGCGGACGGGUGAGUAAUGUCUGGGAAACUGCCUGAUGGAGGGGGAUAACUACUGGAAACGGUAGCUAAUACCGCAUAAUGUCGCAAGACCAAAGAGGGGGACCUUCGGGCCUCUUGCCAUCGGAUGUGCCCAGAUGGGAUUAGCUAGUAGGUGGGGUAACGGCUCACCUAGGCGCCGAUCCCUAGCUGGUCUGAGAGGAUGACAAGCCCCACUGGAAGUGAGCCACGCUCACGACUCCUAAGGGAGGCACCAGUGGGGAAUAUUGCACAAGGGGAGAGAGCCUGAUGCAGCUACGGCGCGUGUAUGAAGAAGGACUUAGGGUUGUAAAGUACUUUCCGCGGGGAGGACGGGAGUAAAGUAAACACCUUUGAUCAUUGACGUUACCCGCAGAAGAAGCACCGGCUAACUCCGUG